Molecule: transfer RNA, 75 nt
Filed under: Holophagales bacterium
Lineage: Bacteria; Pseudomonadati; Acidobacteriota; Holophagae; Holophagales
Description: tRNA-Cys
Rfam family: tRNA
About the family: Transfer RNA (tRNA) molecules are approximately 80 nucleotides in length. Their secondary structure includes four short double-helical elements and three loops (D, anti-codon, and T loops). Further hydrogen bonds mediate the characteristic L-shaped molecular structure. tRNAs have two regions of fundamental functional importance: the anti-codon, which is responsible for specific mRNA codon recognition, and the 3' end, to which the tRNAs corresponding amino acid is attached (by aminoacyl-tRNA synthetases). tRNAs cope with the degeneracy of the genetic code in two manners: having more than one tRNA (with a specific anti-codon) for a particular amino acid; and 'wobble' base-pairing, i.e. permitting non-standard base-pairing at the 3rd anti-codon position.
Source: RNAcentral
GGCGCCGUCGCCAAGUGGUAAGGCCGCAGACUGCAAAUCUGCCAUUCAUCGGUUCGAUUCCGAUCGGCGCCUCCA